RNAcentral lists this transfer RNA (72 nucleotides) under Hypoxylon rubiginosum. RNAcentral describes it as "tRNA-Ala". It matches the Rfam family "tRNA". From Rfam's summary of the family: Transfer RNA (tRNA) molecules are approximately 80 nucleotides in length. Their secondary structure includes four short double-helical elements and three loops (D, anti-codon, and T loops). The record is from RNAcentral. Lineage: Eukaryota; Fungi; Ascomycota; Sordariomycetes; Xylariales; Hypoxylaceae.
GCUGAGGUGGUCUAGUGGUAAGACGCCGGGACAGCAAACCGGAGAUCGCUGGUUCGAAUCCAGCCCUCAGUA